Molecule: long non-coding RNA, 641 nt
Organism: Talpa occidentalis (Iberian mole)
Lineage: Eukaryota; Metazoa; Chordata; Mammalia; Eulipotyphla; Talpidae
Exons: 3
Source: RefSeq, a predicted model, not a curated record
AGGACCCCGGGGAGGGCGGACGAGAGCGGCGCGGGCCACGCGGGCGCCCCGCCAGGUCAGAAGUCCUUCAGAUAACUUCUCCAGCAAGGUGUCGUCAGGGCUGCCUUCCUUCUGGACAUUCUAAGGGGAAAUCCAUUUCCUUGCCUUCCCCAGCUCCUGAGGCCACCUGCUCUUCUUGGCUCUGAACUCUCCGUCAAUCUUCAAAGCCAGUAAUGUUGGCCGGUCCUCACACUGCCAUCGCUUCAGUUUUCUCUUCUGCUGUCCUCUCCCACUUGGACAGGUGGUAGGUAUUUUGAAGAUCCUGCUCUGUAAGAGACACGAGUGAUCUGACCCUGCUUUCCCUGAGGGCUGGAGAGGUCCAUCGGUUGCAUAUUUGGAACUUCAAAUUCAAACCAGUAAUCAUCACUCUGCACCCUGCUGCUAUCGUUCUCCUGUAGUACACUUUCUGUCCUGCACGUCGGCCCUGUGUGCCCCCUUAUCCAGCACAGAGCUAAAGUCCUCGAUGUGGGUACGUGUCCCUGAGUCAACAACCACUUCAUACAGCUGCUGCCUCUCACUCUCCUGGGCUGUGCAGUCCUGGUAUUGCAGUAAAUACAGCUCAGUUGAAGUUUUUCCUACUUGUUUCCUUCACACGUUGGCUC